This 462-nucleotide ribosomal RNA is filed under the name uncultured bacterium. Its description in RNAcentral is "partial 16S ribosomal RNA". It matches the Rfam family "Bacterial small subunit ribosomal RNA", at positions 28 to 507 of the family's 1533-position model. The record is from RNAcentral.
GAUGAACGCUGACAGAAUGCUUAACACAUGCAAGUCAUUGGCGAAGCUGCGCUUGCGCAGUCUAGCCAAGGCGGACGGGUGAGUAACGCGUAAGGAACUUGCCCUGCAGACAGGGAUAACAGACGGAAACGACUGAUAACACCUGGUAUUGUCAGGCUGGCGCAUGCCGGCCUGAUGAAAGGAGACGCUGCAGGAGAGCCUUGCGUCCUAUUAGCUAGUUGGUGGGGUAACGGCCCACCAAGGCGAUGAUAGGUAGCCGGCCUGAGAGGGUGAACGGCCACAAGGGGACUGAGAGACGGCCCUUACUCCUACGGGAGGCAGCAGUGGGGAAUAUUGGACAAUGGGGGCAACCCUGAUCCAGCAAUUCUGUGUGCACGAAGAAGGUUUUCGGAUUGUAAAGUGCUUUCAGCAGGGAAGAAGAAAGUGACGGUACCUGCAGAAGAAGCGACGGCUAAAUACGUG